Olea europaea var. sylvestris is the source of this 1637-nucleotide RNA transcript. It is a transcript of the gene named putative L-ascorbate peroxidase 6, with no coding region annotated. The record is from RefSeq and is a predicted model, not a curated record. Lineage: Eukaryota; Viridiplantae; Streptophyta; Magnoliopsida; Lamiales; Oleaceae. The transcript is spliced from 10 exons.
UCGGUAAAUAAAAAAACCAAAAAGAAGACAAAAACGACACGCUCAUACAUUCUUAGCCGACCGUGGAAGAUGAGAAGCACUAGCGCCGCCGCCACAAUUACUCCGUCGUUGCUCAGUUCCUCCACCUCCUUUACCUCUGGCAGAACGUUCAAAUUUCCUGUCAAAACCUCAAUUCCGGUCAAAUUUCGCUGGAGAAAACCCACCACUACCUCCGCUGCUUCUUCUCCCUCAAAUGGAAUUGCGUCUUGCAAAUCAAAUUCGAAUGCAUUUCGGAGGAGAGCGCUUAUGUAUAUGGCAACGGCUUCGUUUCUCCUCUCUCAGAGCACCAGUUAUGCUGUUGCUGCUGACUAUGGUGCCAGUGAAGGUUCUCUCUUACAUGAAGAGAUCAGGAAGGUAUUAUCCAAGGCCAAAGCUGCUGGUUUACUUCGUUUAGUUUUUCAUGAUGCAGGGACUUUUGAUAAGGACGAUAAAACAGGUGGUAUGAAUGGCUCUGUAGUUUAUGAACUCGAAAGACCUGAGAAUGCAGGUCUUAAGAAGUCCCUAAAGAUUCUGGAGAAAGCAAAGAUUCAAGUGGAUGCUGUAGAACCAGUAUCCUGGGCAGAUAUGAUAGCUGUUGCUGGAGCAGAGGCCAUUUUAGUAUGUGGAGGUCCAAAAAUCCCUGUUCAGUUGGGAAGACUAGAUGCAAAUCGUUAUAUUUUCCUUCAUAGAAUGGCUGAUCCUGAUGGAAAGCUUCCUGAGGAAUCUCUGGAUGUCAUAGCCCUAAAGCAGUGUUUUGACAGAAAAGGCUUCACAACUAAGGAGCUUGUUGCAUUAUCUGGAGCUCACACUCUCGGAAGCAAAGGUUUCGGAAAUCCCGUUGUUUUCGACAAUUCGUACUACAAAAUUCUCCUAGAGAAGCCAUGGUUGUCUUCAGGUGCUUCACAAGUUUCUUUCUUCUGCCAUCUUGUUUUAAAUCCCAUCCAAUCAUUCCAAGUGAUUACCAACUAAGCAGAUGGUUCAUGUCUCCAAGCAACUGCUCAUAAUCAAUACCGUCUCAGAGAGAAAAUUCUUAAACUUAUAGCUAUAAGUGUUGGAGUUAGGUCUGAAUCCAGAAAGGGAAAAUGGCACUUGUAGUUCCAUGUCCCACUAUUGUUUUAAAGACUUUGCAACAUCCUCCAGCAUUAUGGGAUGUCUAGUAUGAUUGGCCUACCUUCAGAUCGUGCACUUGUUGAGGAUGAUGACUGCAUGAGGUGGAUCUCAAAGUAUGCCAAUGAUCAGAGUUUGUUCUUUGAAGAUUUUAAGAAUGUCUAUAUUAAGCUUGUAAAUACCGGUGCAAAAUGGAGAAGAUCUGCAUGAUACUCUUAGAAAGGAAUGGUAUGGCAUUUCUCACAGCCUCUACAUAAUUUGGCAAUACCUUGGUGUCAUUAGCAACUGGAACGUUCUUGAGUCAAUGAUUGUAUUGAUACGGUUCGAGGAGAUGGUAAAAUCUGCUGAGGAAAUCUGGAAUUAAAAAAAAAAAUAAUGAAAUAGUAUACACAGAAGUCACCAGUAUAUAGAGUGAAUGUUACAUAUAUAGGUUCAAAUGCACUUGUUUGUCAAAAAUCACUGUAAUUAACCUUAAUAUUUCGCCAAAUACAAUUAUUUAUAUUUGCUCAAAA